This 431-nucleotide unclassified non-coding RNA is filed under the name Hevea brasiliensis (rubber tree). The record is from RNAcentral. Lineage: Eukaryota; Viridiplantae; Streptophyta; Magnoliopsida; Malpighiales; Euphorbiaceae.
GUGUGUGUGUGUGUGUGUGUAUUCGACCUUUUAAAUCCCAUAGCAAACAUGGAUGCACGAUCAAACAGUGAAGUCUAAUAAAAGCAAUACAAUGAAAAUCCUCACUCUUUGUAUAUAAAUGGUUUCCUGUUGAAAUAGUUUGGAGUGAGAGUGGGAGGGAAAUUCCAUAAUUUUAUUUUUCACAGUUGUAGCAAUGUGAUAUUCUUUCCUAUUUAGUUAUAUUAAAAAAAAAAACCCUCAAAUUCUAAAGGCCUAGCAAUUGAUUUAUUUUUAGUUACUGUUGCAGUAGCUUUCUCACUGUGAUGCCUUUCUUUGACCCAUGUGAGGAGGUUUGCGAGUGUCCCUCCUUUGUUUUGUUUUUUCGUCUGUUCUAUAAAUUUGUGAAAUUUUUUAUUGUUUGUUGAUGGAAGGUUGAAAUGGCUUGGUGGGAA